RNAcentral lists this ribosomal RNA (551 nucleotides) under uncultured bacterium. RNAcentral's name for it is "bacterial SSU rRNA". It matches the Rfam family "Archaeal small subunit ribosomal RNA", at positions 728 to 1275 of the family's 1478-position model. The record is from RNAcentral.
AAUAGAUACCCGGGUAGUCCUAGCCGUAAACGAUACUCGCUAGGUGUCGGCCACGGUGCGACCGUUGUCGGUGCCGUAGGGAAGCCGUGAAGCGAGCCACCUGGGAAGUACGGCCGCAAGGCUGAAACUUAAAGGAAUUGGCGGGGGGAGCACCACAACGGGUGGAGCUUGCGGUUUAAUUGGAUUCAACGCCGGAAAUCUUACCGGGACCGACAGCAACAUGAAGGCCAGGCUGAAGACUUUGCCGGAUUAGCUGAGAGGUGGUGCAUGGCCGUCGUCAGUUCGUACUGUGAAGCAUCCUGUUAAGUCAGGCAACGAGCGAGACCCACGCCCACAGUUGCCAGCGUACUCUCUGGAGUGACGGGUACACUGUGGGGACCGCCGCUGCUAAAGCGGAGGAAGGAAUGGGGCAACGGUAGGUCAGUAUGCCCCGAAUAUCCCGGGGCUACACGCGAGCUACAAUGGUUGGUACAAUGGGUAUCUACCCCGAAAGGGGAUGGAAAUCUCCUAAAGCCAAUCUUAGUUCGGAUUGAGGGCUGCAACUCGCCCUC